Molecule: long non-coding RNA, 3360 nt
Organism: Pogoniulus pusillus (Red-fronted tinkerbird)
Lineage: Eukaryota; Metazoa; Chordata; Aves; Piciformes; Lybiidae
Exons: 2
Source: RefSeq, a predicted model, not a curated record
UCCAACGUGGAAGAAGGAGGAAUAAGGAACCUUUGCAAAAGGCACAGCGCAAUCCGCCCAGCGCAGCGAGCCCAUUCGCCGUGUGGGCAGGCGGCGUGAUUAGUGAUGGGCGACACUGUCCACCCUGGUGCCACAGAGCUUCUCGGUUCCUUCCAUUCUACAAACCAGGCAAGAUGUGACUCACGCAGUUUGCUUGCAAAGAAGGAGGACCAUCUGCUAGUCAUGAGCAGAUGACAAAUUGACUGCAUUGCGUCUUGUCGCUACUUCCAAAUUUUGCCUGCUUGAAGAGACCAACAGGGACGUUUUGGGGGUUUCUGCUAACAUGCUCCUUUGACAGCAAGACUCAGCUUUUACUGACUUGCUUGGAAGAAUCCAUGCUUAUGGGAAUGACUGUAGUGUCAUGGAGACAGAAAAAGAAAGAACAUCAUUUUAACAGGUUAAUGGCUGCUGGAUCCUGAAGGAUCUACCACAUGCCAAAACUUGUGCUUGCUUUUCUUCUUUCAGCUUUCACGCUGCUGUAAAGCUAGACAGCAUCUUUUCCUGACCAAGGAAAACCGCUGACCUUUAGCGGUGUUGACAAAUACAGAAGAAGACAAAUCCAGAUACAAAUAUUUUCAUCCAUUGCCACAGAAACUCUUUGAGAACCAUAUAGCCCUGUCUGGUCAGCUGAAAUGUGAACCCAGUCCCUUGGCUGAGAAUGGAUGGAAAACCUUUCUCUUGCUAACAAAGCAGCACUAUGUACUCUUCCAUGCUGUACCGGAGGAGAAACAUCUCCAUUCCUGAAACCCUGCUUUGCUUCUCUUUUAGACCAGAUUUUGUAUGAGGAAAGUGAUGAAACUUACUCUUAGAACUCUCAGAACUUGGAGAAGGUAAUGGUAAGAAGAGUAGAGGAACUAGCUUUAAAGAAUGUGCAGGUUAGGCAUUUUAUUCUAGCUGAGAGACAUAUGACUGUUUGUAUUCUCAGAAUUAAAAUAGAUUUUUUGCAGCUCUACUCCUGUAAUUUAGGUUUAGAUCUCAGUUAAAAACCCAAUACACAACUGACAUUGGUGAAGAAAAGAAGACAAAUAAGUUAGCAGCUAUUCUAUCUUCAAAAUAAAUUAAUAAAUAAAGAUAAAUGUCAAUAUUUUCAAAACUAGAGGAAAAUUCAGCCUAAGAGAUUUUCUCGGUUGGCUUCAGCAAUCUUUGGAUGCAGUUCUUGGACACAGUACUUCUUGUAGAGGAAAAUGCAGUAACAGGGGAGGAGAGCACUGAAUCUCAUAGCCACUGUAGAGCGCAAUUAACUCUCACUAUGUUCCUAUGGAGGCCUAUAUGGUCACUUAGAAUAGCUUUUCCACUUCUUUCAAUAGUUGAAGUCCUCCAGUUUUGCUUAUGAGUUAGGUGACUGGUAGGGCAGAGCUGUGCUGGGAGAUGUGGAGCAGAAGCAGAUACAUCACCAAGAGAGAAGAGUGGGCGAGACCCUAGCUCAACUUUCUAUCCGAACUCUUUUCUUUUCUACCAGUAACUGAUAAAUUAUCCAUUCUAUCUCCACAGGCCAGUCCUCUACAGAGAUGCACGGGGACAAAAAGCUCAUUUGUUAAAAAUGGAGUAUUAAAAAUGAAGGAGUUCAUUUAACUGAGGCAAAUUCGAAGAGAACUCCUUUUGAAAAGCAAAUUUUUACAGUGAGUUUUCUAAGAAGGUUGCACCUGAGCUUCCUGGAAGCAAAUGUUUUAGUUUUUCAGUUUAAAACACAGUUUACCAGGGUUUGACUUUUGUUUUAUUUAUCAGGUUGGCAUAAGAAUGAGACAUUGCAUUUUUAUCAAAAUGAAACAUUGAGAACAAUUUUAAAGGUUUUUUAAUGGGUGUUUUUGAAGGUUUAGUUUAAUAUUCGAGAGGAAAACAGAGUGCCUUUGUUCCAUUCUGAGAAAGAAUGGAACCCAUUUCUUUCCCUACAGACAAAAAAAUCCUGCUUUCCCCCAUCUCUAACACUCAGGAGCCUGUACCUUUUGUAAUGGCAGAGCUGGAGUUGUGUUGUAGGUGCUUAAUGGGAACAUUGCCAAAGAAAUGUGCUGUUCUGACAGGGGAAUAGAAACUUCAGCUCAUGAGUAGGAGUAGGUGAGCCUGAGAAUUACCCAAGCAUGUCUGAAAAUUGGCAGCCUGGCUGGAAAGCAUCCAGGAUCUCCAAGCGCCCAGAGUUUACAGACCAGCCCAGGAAGCAGCCUGCUUUAACAGCUCUGGGACACCCAGGAGGCCUUUUUUGGUGAAGUGCAAACCUUUACUCACACACACAUGCCCCACCUUAAGCAGCAAUCCAGUCAUGCUCAAAGAAUGUCUUGAAAAGAAUUAAAUGGCUUUACAUCAUGUUCCAGGAGAUUACAUUUCUUAAAGCUACCAGCUUAAAAGGUAGCAUGUCAAAGUUACAAAAGGUCAUACCUGGUGUUAUUUUCUGCCUCGAAUAAGGAGGAGUAGCCUGGUACCUUCUUACCCUCUUCUCUUUGCUAAUCAGUCCUGGCUGAAGCUAGGUAGUGUCCCCUAGGCUCUUUGAUGUAAGUGCAGAAUGCUGCAUUUGGGAUUGCCUUCCCUCCUGUUAUCUUGUGGAUGUCUCCCAAACAUGUGUUGACCAUUGAAAAUAUGUCCUCCUCAGGUGGAAUUUGGAGAUUCCCUUCAUUUCUGCAGUGUUUGUAAAAACAAACAACCAAGCAAAACCAGAUUAAAAGGGAGGGAAUGCUCUAAAUAAUGCCAAUGUGGUACUUGCUGAGCUUGGAGGCCUCUUUUGUUUCUUUUUUCACUUUUGUGAGGCUUAAAUGUCCAUGCUUUAAGACUGUACUUGGGCAGGGGGGGGAGGAAGACCCACAUCCUCAGCAAUAGCCAGAAACAACUGAUACAAACAGUUCUUGGAAUAAUGUGCUGUGAGUAAAUGUCUCAACCUUACAGUGAGACAGAAAGCAAAACAGUGAUGGGGCACCCACAACAAGAUACCUCCAAGGCAAGCUUAGCUUGCACAUGGGCAGUGUGGCUGUCCCUGCUCAGCCCUUGGGCUCACUGGCAGCUUGGACACCCCUGCACACAAAAUGAUCAGGGCUUCAAGUAGUGGAUCACAGCCCAGCUUCACUGAUGAUGGCACAGGAAUUUGAUGCAGAACUUCCCCACAUUUUCUUUCCUGUUAUGCCACUGUUAGAAGUUUCUUUUUCCUUUUGUAACACUUUUCAGAAUGGCUUAACUGUGAUUCUUAAGAGAACCUCAACUUUCUUUGCACGAUAGGAUAACAAAAAUGUAGCUGAACACUGUUGACCAUCACUCUACAUCCCAACUCUGUGUGCUCUGACACCCUGACAUGCCAAACUACAGUACAGAUGUGGUUCUAACAAAUAUUCCUGAGCAAGC